GCGGAUGGCCGGAUGGCCGCGGGCGUCCGGCUGGUCCGGGGCCCGAGGAAAGUCCGGACUCCACAAGGCAACGGUGCCGGGUAACGCCCGGCCGGGGCAACCCGAGGGAAAGCGCCACAGAGAACAGACCGCUUCGCAUGCCGAAGCAAGGGUGAAACGGUGCGGCAAGAGCGCACCGCGCCCCUGGCAACAGGGGUGGCACGGCAAGCCCCACCGGGAGCAAUGCCAAAUAGGGGCUGCAAAUGGGUGCCUUGCCCGCGCAGCCCGGGUUGGCAGCACGAGGCGCCUGGCGACAGGCGUCCCAGAUGAAUGGUCAUCGAGGGGGGAAACCCCUGGACAAAAUCCGGCUUACAGGCCAUCCGCGCAG
Molecule: RNase P RNA, 367 nt
Filed under: Aliiroseovarius sp.
Lineage: Bacteria; Pseudomonadati; Pseudomonadota; Alphaproteobacteria; Rhodobacterales; Paracoccaceae
Description: RNase P RNA component class A
Rfam family: Bacterial RNase P class A
About the family: Ribonuclease P (RNase P) is a ubiquitous endoribonuclease, found in archaea, bacteria and eukarya as well as chloroplasts and mitochondria. Its best characterised activity is the generation of mature 5'-ends of tRNAs by cleaving the 5'-leader elements of precursor-tRNAs.
Source: RNAcentral